This 492-nucleotide ribosomal RNA is filed under the name uncultured bacterium. RNAcentral describes it as "partial 16S ribosomal RNA". It matches the Rfam family "Bacterial small subunit ribosomal RNA", at positions 29 to 507 of the family's 1533-position model. The record is from RNAcentral.
AGUGAACGCUGGCGGUAGGCCUAACACAUGCAAGUCGAACGGCAGCACAGUAAGAGCUUGCUCUUACGGGUGGCGAGUGGCGGACGGGUGAGGAAUACAUCGGAAUCUACUUUUUCGUGGGGGAUAACGUAGGGAAACUUACGCUAAUACCGCAUACGACGUACGGGUGAAAGCAGGGGAUCUUCGGACCUUUCGCGAUUGAAUGAGCCGAUGUCGGAUUAGCUAGUUGGCGGGGUAAAGGCCCACCAAGGCGACGAUCCGUAGCUGGUCUGAGAGGAUGAUCAGCCACACUGGAACUGAGACACGGUCCAGACUCCUACGGGAGGCAGCAGUGGGGAAUAUUGGACAAUGGGCGCAAGCCUGAUCCAGCCAUACCGCGUGGGUGAAGAAGGCCUUCGGGUUGUAAAGCCCUUUUGUUGGGAAAGAAAAGAAGCAGGUUAAUACCCCGCUGUUCUGACGGUACCCAAAGAAUAAGCACCGGCUAACUUCGUG